Molecule: ribosomal RNA, 592 nt
Filed under: Ustilago filiformis
Lineage: Eukaryota; Fungi; Basidiomycota; Ustilaginomycetes; Ustilaginales; Ustilaginaceae
Description: LSU rRNA
Rfam family: Eukaryotic large subunit ribosomal RNA
Source: RNAcentral
AAUAAGCGGAGGAAAAGAAACUAACAAGGAUUCCCCUAGUAACGGCGAGUGAAGAGGGAAGAGCCCAAGAUUGAAAGCUGGCGUCUUCGGCGUCCGCAUUGUAAUCUCAAGAAGUGUUUUCCGCUUCGGACCAUGCCUAAGUCCCUUGGAAAAGGGCAUCAUAGAGGGUGAUAAUCCCGUACAUGGCAUGGAGCGCCCGAAGCUUUGUGAUACGCUUUCUAAGAGUCGAGUUGUUUGGGAAUGCAGCUCAAAAUGGGUGGUAAAUGCCAUCUAAGGCUAAAUAUUGGGGAGAGACCGAUAGCGAACAAGUACAGUGAUGGAAAGAUGAAAAGAACUUUGAAAAGAGAGUUAAACAGUACGUGAAAUUGCCAAAAGGGAAGGGUAGGAGGUCAGAGAUGCGGCCUAGGAUUCAGCCUUGCUUUUGCUUGGUGUUUUUCCUAGGUUGCAGGCCAACGUCGGUUUUGGGCACUGGAGAAGGGUGGAAGGAAUGUGGCACCUCUCGGGGUGUGUUAUAGCCUUCUACUGGAUACAGCGACCGAGACCGAGGACAGCAGCGUACCCGCAAGAGCGGGCCUUCGGGCACCUUUACGCU